Long non-coding RNA from Thalassophryne amazonica, 102 nucleotides. RefSeq lists it as uncharacterized. The transcript has 3 exons. The record is from RefSeq and is a predicted model, not a curated record. NCBI's taxonomy places the organism in Eukaryota, Metazoa, Chordata, Actinopteri, Batrachoidiformes, Batrachoididae.
CAUCAAACCUCUGAAGACCGUUGUCUUUUGUCCACAGGUUUGUUGAUGUUUCAAGGAAAGUGUGAAAGUGAAACAUCCAAAAACAUGUGGACAGAAGACAAC